RNAcentral lists this long non-coding RNA (1147 nucleotides) under Homo sapiens (human). Its description in RNAcentral is "HSALNT0310433". The record is from RNAcentral. Lineage: Eukaryota; Metazoa; Chordata; Mammalia; Primates; Hominidae.
AUUAGGGUUGAGAACCAGGGCCCCGCAGCCCACCUGGAUGGCAGGGAGUGUUGGGUCGCUGCCUACGGCCCUCACAACCACCCUGAGAAAGAUGGACUCUUGACAAUGCCCAGUUUACAGCCGAGUAAACUGAGGCCCUCAGAAGUCACACAGAAGUCAGAAGUCCUCAGAGGCCCUCAGAAGUCACACAGUGGCCCAGGGCUCCUGGAGCAUAUUUGGUGUGUUUCCUUCCCACACUGCUGCCCCCCUCAACCCUAUGGUGCAUAAACUUUGAGCAAAUGGAGGUUUAUGGCUGAGGGAACACAAGGCUUCCCCAGGCUGUGUUGAGGAGACACUGCCUUGCAGAAGUCUUCCCUGCCCCAGGCUCGCUGGGGCCAUUUCCCAUCUGGCAGUAGCCCAGUAUGUGUCCCCCCAGGAGCCCCUUGACCCACUGACAAGUUCAGUAUCUUUCUGAAAUGAUCCAGAGUGGAACCUUGAGGAUCUGUAGAUCCCUGGGGCUGGGAGCGUGUUGGGGGAUGUUCCCUGGGUUCUGAGCUGUAACCCCUGAGCCUGACCUCUUGGGGUCCUUGGGCCAACAGCCCCUGGCUCACUGGGGUCAUCAGGGAGUUCAACAGAUGGGUCAGAGGAAGCUUUUACCGACCCAGCCUCAGGGAGCAGCCUGGGAGCUCUCACUCCCAGCCAAGCCUCCCCCACCCCAGCCCUGGCUCUUGGGGGCAGGCAAGACAGAUAGCCCUUUCCUUAGGACUGGAGCCCAACCAGUGGCAGAUGGAAAAAAGGAUGAGCCACAGGUUCUGAUCAGGUGCUGGAACAAACCACCCUUCUUAAGUGAGUCCCCCACGAACUUAGAAUUUGAGACUCACUCAUUGGCCAGGCUCAAUGGCCUCUGUUCUGCUAUCAAGAGGCUGCUGGGAUGUUACCCAUGGCAGGGAUAGAUGGGGAAGUCACCAUAUUCAAAACAAUCAUGUGUUGAAACACCUCCCCAGCUUCUGAUCUACCGGUAGUGGCAGCGGAAGCAAAUACAGCAAAUCUGAAACCCGAUGCCUACAGAACAGGGGUGUGAAAUGUGACGCCAGAGGCCCCCACACAGAAGUGGGUGUGGACAGCCACCUGCCUGUGAGCAACCAGGGGAAGCUAGCUUGGUGCCGAG